This is a non-coding RNA of Electrophorus electricus (electric eel), 2443 nucleotides long. The record is from RefSeq and is a predicted model, not a curated record. Lineage: Eukaryota; Metazoa; Chordata; Actinopteri; Gymnotiformes; Gymnotidae.
GGACUUAUUCAUCAGCCUGGCUCCCCCUCUGAAGGUGCUUAAACUGGCAAAAUAGAAGGGAUGUGGCCAUUUUGCCCCUGAGUGCUACAUCAAUCUAAAGUGACAUAAAGAUAAUACUUGCCAUUUGGUGUACUGUUAUUACCACCGGGCAAACCCAAAUGGAUUUGUCUUCAGUGUACUGGAAAAUCCCCCUUUUUGUCAAGCCACCAACAAGUUGAGAGGCAAAAGACUUCUUGUCAAGGAUUGCUGGAGCUUAGCAGAGAGCAUCUGACAUCAUGCUAAUCUACCAUAGAAGUAUGACAAAGAGACCAGAUUCAGCUAAUUAACGCAGUGCCUGGAGGUACCAUCUUAAGCGCAAUUACAAGACAAAAGUCACAAGACAUCCAUGCAAAUGGAUCAUGCUCUCUGUCUGGGAAAGCUGUGCAAACAUGUGGCCAGCCAAGGCACCACGCUGCCAUUUCCCCCUCGAACACUGCAGCAGGUGCAACAGGAACUGCGGCACAUGUCCAAGGUUCAGAGGUCAGAGCACGCUGCAUCUGUGCCUAAUCGGCCGUUAAACAGAGGGCCGUCUCCUUUGAUCAGCGAUUUCAUCUGGAAGGCGAGGAUCUGGUUCCCAAGAGGGACAGAAUACAUAAGUUCACACUUCUGUUUCCCAACAGGGCUGGGAAAACAUCCUUACACAGAGAAAUUGAUUUGCACACGUUAUCUUUGAUCUGUUCCAGAAUUUGGUGAAGAAAGCUAGUGCAGUUAGGUUGUUAGGUCUUCAAAUGUGUGUAGUGUGUGUUGAACUACAAGAUAUCUGUGGUUUUAGCUAAAGUAGUUAUAGUAUAUAGGCCUAGAAUAUUGGACUAGAACUGUUAGUUAUAGUAUAUAGGCCUAGAAUAUUGGGCUAGAGCUGUUAGUUAUAGUACAUAGGCCUAGAAUAUUGGGCUAGAGCUGUUGGUUAUAGUAAAAAGGCCUAGAAUAUUGGACUAGAGCUGUUAGUUAUAGCAUAUAGGCCUAGAAUAUUGGACUAGAGCUGUUAGUUAUAGCAUAUAGGCCUAGAAUAUUGGGCUAGAGCUGUUAGUUAUAGCAUAUAGGCCUAGAAUAUUGGACUAGAGCUGUUAGUUAUAGCAUAUAGGCCUAGAAUAUUGGGCUAGAGCUGUUAGUUAUAGCAUAUAGGCCUAGAAUAUUGGACUAGAGAUGUUAGUUAUAGCAUAUAGGCCUAGAAUAUUGGACUAGAGCUGUUAGUUAUAGCAUAUAGGCCUAGAAUAUUGGACUAGAGCUGUUAGUUAUAGCAUAUAGGCCUAGAAUAUUGGGCUAGAGCUGUUAGUUAUAGCAUAUAGGCCUAGAAUAUUGGACUAGAGCUGUUAGUUAUAGUACAUAGGCCAAGAAUAUUGGGCUAGAGCUGUUGGUUAUAGUAAAAAGGCCUAGAAUAUUGGACUAGAGCUGUUAGUUAUAGCAUAUAGGCCUAGAAUAUUGGACUAGAGCUGUUAGUUAUAGCAUAUAGGCCUAGAAUAUUGGGCUAGAGCUGUUAGUUAUAGCAUAUAGGCCUAGAAUAUUGGACUAGAGCUGUUAGUUAUAGCAUAUAGGCCUAGAAUAUUGGACUAGAGCUGUUAGUUAUAGCAAAUAGGCCUAGAAUAUUGGACUAGAGCUGUUAGUUAUAGCAUAUAGGCCUAGAAUAUUGGGCUAGAGCUGUUAGUUAUAGCAUAUAGGCCUAGAAUAUUGGACUAGAGCUGUUAGUUAUAGCAUAUAGGCCUAGAAUAUUGGGCUAGAGCUGUUAGUUAUAGCAUAUAGGCCUAGAAUAUUGGACUAGAGCUGUUAGUUAUAGCAUAUAGGCCUAGAAUAUUGGGCUAGAGCUGUUAGUUAUAGCAUAUAGGCCUAGAAUAUUGGACUGGAGCUGUUAGUUAUAGCAUAUAGGCCUAGAAUAUUGGACUGGAGCUGUUAGUUAUAGCAUAUAGGCCUAGAAUAUUGGACUAGAGCUGUUAGUUAUAGCAUAUAGGCCUAGAAUAUUGGACUAGAGCUGUUAGUUAUAGCAUAUAGGCCUAGAAUAUUGGACUAGAGCUGUUAGUUAUAGCAUAUAGGCCUAGAAUAUUGGACUAGAGCUGUUGUAAUGAGGAGAGGGCUACUGUUUGCUGGGCUGACUGAAAGCCUUCUUUGUGAAUUUUCUAGCUAUUUGAAGAAUUUGAACGGUGAGUUUUUGGCUGUGGCAAUAUUUGGAUGCCGGAGUGUAUUUGUGGUUCAGGGAUAUUUGUGGGUGGGAUGUAUUUAUGGUUGAGGGAUAUUUGAGAUCUAUAAACAGAAGCAUUGUUUGGGCUGCUAGCCUGAAACAAUGUUUCUCACACUGUUUUGCAUGCACUGAAGCUAGCAGUUCCAGGGACCCCAACGGGUCAUUAGUGUGUGCAAAUACUGAGGGUUGAAUAAUGGCUAAUAUGCCUUAGAGACUAAUAAUUAAAUUACUAAU